Molecule: long non-coding RNA, 659 nt
Organism: Herpailurus yagouaroundi (jaguarundi)
Lineage: Eukaryota; Metazoa; Chordata; Mammalia; Carnivora; Felidae
Exons: 4
Source: RefSeq, a predicted model, not a curated record
UUCUUAUAACAAUCCUACAACUUAGUCAUUGUAUUUCCAGUUUAUAGACGAAGAAGCAAAGGGAUUGAAGAACUUACCCAAGGUUAUAUCGCCAUUAAAUGGAAGAAUCUAGAUCAAAACUCAGAGCAGAAUAAUAACAUUAUCCUAAAUCUGGAUAGUGCUUUACAAAGUGCUUCCAAAUUCGCGAUUUAACUUGCUGCUCCUGAGAACUGUGUGAAGAGGUAUUAGUAUUUUUUAACCUCUUUUUCUGAGGACAAAGUAAGGCCUAGAAAGGUUAAAUGACUUGUCCAGAAUGAGACCUCUGGUGAACUGCAGAACAAGGACUAAAAGGGCAGAAAGAAACUCUUAUCCAGGAGAUGGAGACCCUCUUACUGUCGUCGAGAAUGAGCAUCUCUUGGAGUCUGUGUAUGCGAUGGAAGCACUGAAAGUAAGGGAUUAUUAACUACAAGCUUUUGUUAUUCUGUAAUUUGGAUGGAGCAUUUGAGUUUAACGAGGUGAGCUUCCAUGCUUGGGGAACCAGAAUGCUUCCACAUGCAACUGAGCAGAGCCCUGAGCUCCUUGAGGACAAAGCUCCUUUGUUCAGGAUCUCACUCUGCAUCCUUCAUUUGGCUGUUGAUUUGCAUCCUUUAUCAUAUCCUGUAAUAAACUGGUAAAUGUAA